UGGUUCAGGGAGCUCCAACUCCAGUAGGAACCCUGGGGAUGGGCAAGAUCUCCAUGCCCAGCAACCCACAGUUUAUUCCCAGCUGUAGGUUCAAGUUUAGCAUCACACAAACAAUACUGGGUAUUUCUGUCCAAAAUCUUUAUUUUUCUUCUAUGUAACACUCCCUGUCCCACCGGUGUACAUUCCAAGUGCAGGGAUCAGCUCAGUGCUCAAGGAGGCAAAUUUCUUGACCAACCUCAGUUGAGUCAAAAAUAAAACAAGCCAAGAGCUGGGGUAUCUCCAUGGGUUUGCACCUUCCAAAGGGCAGAGAGCAAAGUAGCUUGGAGCUGGCAAUCAUUGCUAUGGCUAAAUUCUGCAAUGCCAUUCCUGAGCCCUGGUGCAGCAGGAAGCGGGUGAGGGACAAUGGGCAGGCAGGGAAGCAAUGCAAUGCAGAAAGCACUGAAGAAGCUAAAAAUUGACAGGGCUGUGGUUUAAAACCCAUCAGUAUCAGGAGGUUAUGCAAAAUAAGGGUUAAUCAUAAGAAGGAAUAAUAAGAAGAAAGGGUUAAUAAAUAACUCAACUUACUUCCUCAAACUGGGACUGAAUCAGCCUUGAAAAACAGUAGUACAGGCUGUACUGUAAUGAAAAUCUGGGACUAAGGACUGUCCUCCCUGUCUGCAGCUGUGCCCAUGCAGAAGCUGCUGAAAGCUGAGUCUAUCACAUAAAAGAUUUAUUGAGGUGAUAGGGCCAAAAGAGGAGGAAAAGGCAGAAAUAUCCCUUUAUACAGACUGAACACCUCAACCUUUGAAAAAAAUCUUGCAGACAGCCUGUUGCCUGGGGUUAAAGAACAAUGCUGAUGGGUUGCAGCAACACCAGCCAUGUCAGAAGCUGUGCUGGCUUCAGUGCCUGCUUUUGUCCCUUUCCAGCUGGAUCAGGACAUUGUUGCUGCUGUCGGCAGCUUCCAACACAAGACAAGUGGAAGUGGGAACUGCAGGAUGACACCAGCUGGUUUGGGGGAGCCACAUCCGGGACGAUAUAUCCUUCCUGGUUAUCGUUAUUCCUCUACCCACACGGAUGCAGGAACACUCCCCUGGGGAGUGAAGAAAGGCCCAUUUGUCACCCACUCGACAGCAUUGGGCUGCUGCAGUGAUCCCCUGCCUGCACCAGCUUCCAGGAAGGGCAAGUAGCUGAUGAAUGGUCACAACUGGGUCGGCACCAACAUCUUCACUCGUCUGCAAUUACAGACGGAGUGACAAGGGCAGCAGGGGCGUUCCCAGGCCAGCAGCAACACUGGGGGGGAAGCCCCCACUCCUGCCCCACCACUUCUGUCUCCCAAUAAAG
Long non-coding RNA from Neopelma chrysocephalum (saffron-crested tyrant-manakin), 1320 nucleotides. RefSeq lists it as uncharacterized. The transcript has 3 exons. Lineage: Eukaryota; Metazoa; Chordata; Aves; Passeriformes; Pipridae. The record is from RefSeq and is a predicted model, not a curated record.